This is a non-coding RNA of Oryza meridionalis, 196 nucleotides long. The record is from Rfam. NCBI's taxonomy places the organism in Eukaryota, Viridiplantae, Streptophyta, Magnoliopsida, Poales, Poaceae.
AAUAAAUGUAGUUUCGCACUGUUCAUGUUCAACUUUGACUGCUCAUCUUACUUGAAUUUUUUUAUUAGUAUUUUUUAUUAUUGUUAGAUGAUAAAAUAUAAAUAGUACCUUAUACAUGACUCUCUUUUUUUCAUAAUUUUUUCAAAUAAUAUGGACAGACAAAUAUUGGAUACGGAUAUCCACGGCUACACUUAUC